This is a non-coding RNA of Macaca mulatta (Rhesus monkey), 1055 nucleotides long. The record is from the annotation of a RefSeq genome assembly. Lineage: Eukaryota; Metazoa; Chordata; Mammalia; Primates; Cercopithecidae.
UAGCAUCAGAACUCAGGAACUACGUAUGCACACCACAGGGCCCUUGUGGGUACUGAACUUGGAGCGUCAGGCAGCACAACUCACAUUUGUGCAGAGAGCUACAUGCCACAUGCUGUUCUCCAGCUUGCUGUGCAUAUUUGUGGCCUUCAGCUACUCUGGAUCCAGCGUGGCCCAGAAGGUUACUCAAGCCCAGUCAUCAGUAUCCAUGCCAGUAGGGAAAGCAGUCACCCUGAACUGCCAGUAUGAAACAAGUUCGUGGUCAUAUUACCUUUUUUGGUACGAGCAACUUCCCGGCAAAGAGAUGAUUUUCCUUAUUCGCCAGGGUUCUUCUGAACAGAAUGCAAGAAAUGGUCGCUAUUCUGUCAACUUCAAGAAAGAAGCUAGCUCCAUCGCCUUAACCAUUUCAGCCUUACAGCUAGAAGACUCAGCAAUGUACUUCUGUGCUCUCUGGGAACUCACAGUGUUUGAAGUGAUAGUAAAAGCAAAACAAAAACCCUAGGGCUCGAAAAGAGAACCCUCUACUCCGCAUCCUUUGCUACAGGAGCCGAUUUGAAGUGCACACCUGCAGAUCUCAGGCAAGAGAGGGUAGUGACUGUGGUCUGUGGAUUUAAUCUGUGGUCUGGAUCAGAUGAGUUAAUUCUAAGUAAAACCUCCUUCUAUCUCAUUUGGAAACAGGUGUUCAGAGCAACUUUCUUCUAAUACUUAAAUUUUUACUGAAAAUAGAUCAGACGGAAAACGUGUAAAGUUGUCUAAAGUUGGAAACACUUCCACAUAAUAACUUAAAGUGGCAGUUUCACUUAACGAUGCUCACAGCAGAAAUAUGGGUCUAGUUAUCUUGAAUCAUAAUAAAAAUCAUUUCCUUAGCCCUUUCCUCUUAGGCUUUAUGUCAAUUAGGGUACAAUCAGGGAAGCAGAACCAUCAUGAAAGAUGUAGAAUAAGAGUAAUUAUAAGGAUUAGACCUCAUGCAAUUGCUGGAGCUGGUGGUUCUCAGGAGUUACUUAGUUUUUUAUGUUUUUAUGAAAUUAUAACAGGAAUAAAAUGUAAUAUUUUCAAAA